Long non-coding RNA from Bos taurus (domestic cattle), 551 nucleotides. NCBI's taxonomy places the organism in Eukaryota, Metazoa, Chordata, Mammalia, Artiodactyla, Bovidae. The record is from Ensembl.
ACGCCAACCCAUCCCAGCUCACCGCGCCCUUUGUGGGCGCCGGCGGUGCCGAGCGCUCAGCAAGGAGGAAGCCCCUGCCCAGAGGAGAUGCGGACCUACACCAUCAUCGGCAGGAGCCACGAGCAGUGUAGGGACCUAGACAGAGAGGCUAGAGCGAGGCCCAGUUCUGCACAUGAGCUGUGUGGCUUCUCUUCUUGAGAAGAGAAGGGGGACCUCAGUUUCCCCCUCUGUGGUCUUCCUGCUCAACUGCCUUGAAUUCAUUGUCCAUGUUAUGUGGAAAUGGGGCAGGAUUCACAGUUUCUUCCUGCUCACAACCUGCAGGCUCCAAAUCUGCCUCAGAAAUGGAUCCUAGAAGUGGCUCACAGUUUAGGAAGUGGCCUUCUGUCUUGGGCUCACCUACCAGAAGUCCUCCAGUCUCACCUGCUGGAAGUGCUCUCAGAUCAGUACGUGCCCAGCCUUCUCUGUGGCCUCUUCUGCUGAAAAGAAAUGCCAGAGUCCUCAGUUAUAGUCUGUGGAAUGGAGGCGGGGUUGGGGAGAUUAGGUGGGGUAUG